This 72-nucleotide transfer RNA is filed under the name Danionella translucida. It matches the Rfam family "tRNA". From Rfam's summary of the family: Transfer RNA (tRNA) molecules are approximately 80 nucleotides in length. Their secondary structure includes four short double-helical elements and three loops (D, anti-codon, and T loops). The record is from Rfam by way of RNAcentral. RNAcentral also lists the same sequence under 1 other name. Lineage: Eukaryota; Metazoa; Chordata; Actinopteri; Cypriniformes; Danionidae.
GGUUAUAUGGUGUAAAGGUUAGCACUCUGGACUCUGAAUCCAGUGAUCUGAGUUCAAAUUUUAGUAGAACCU